UAUACUGGUUUGGUUUUUAUACGUAGUGC
Molecule: small RNA, 29 nt
Filed under: Bombyx mori (domestic silkworm)
Lineage: Eukaryota; Metazoa; Arthropoda; Insecta; Lepidoptera; Bombycidae
Description: ovarian small RNA-23356
Source: RNAcentral